CUAACCCAUCACAAUUAUCAUUCUCCUUCCUUCAUUCAUUCAUUCAUUCACCUUUCUCUUCUCUUCUUCAAGUUGGUUUGGCAAAGUGUUGCUAACAGAGUUUAUUGGCAUUCUGUCCACCUCCGCUUCUUCUUCUUCUUUCUCACCCACAAGCUUGGAGGUGGGCAUACUGCCAACUGAUCUCUGUUAACUCCUCUUUGUAAAGCCUUCGUGAUGUUUCUUUCUCAAUUUAUUACGAUCUGCACCGUGAUUUUUUUUACCCUUCUAUAAGGACCCUAAGAUGGCUAAGGAAAUCUCGCAGAGAGAGGUAGCCCUAGUACUCAUUGAUUUGUUUGUUUGCAUUAUGAUGUGUUCUCUCCUCGCUCAAUCUUUACAUGUGUUGGUUUGGGGAGAUGGAAACCCUAAUUUCUUUCUUGGUUUAUUUUUGUUUGGAUGUGUUGGUGUUGAAAGUUUUCAUUUUUCUUCGUGGAUCCAUGUUGUUUAGACCUAUCCGGUCUUUAUGAGAGGCUGAUGAGAUGGGAUUUCAAUGAUUUUUACAACCCUUUUGAUAACAAAUCAAAGUUUUUUUUUUCACUUAUCGGAAAUGGUUUUUCAUUUGGAAUAUCGAAUUUCAAAGGGGUAUUCAUUCCAUAUGCUAUGAUCUGGUUAUGCUUUUGUUUGUAAAUCAGUGUCCGUGGCCUCGGUUUCGAGUCAUGCAUGCCUGGCUUAUUGCCAUAUUGAUAGUAAAAAAACAAGAUGCUUUGGGUUAUUCGUGUUGCUUAUUUGCUAUCAAUACAUGGCAUAUGUAGCAAGCAGCAUCAGGUGAGGCAGAUGGGGUGUCAGCAUAAAAAAAUGGAUGUGGCCAACCCUUCUUCUCUUCCUUUCCCUAGUGUCUGUCGAGGGUAGUACGUUUUUCUGUUUCUUUCUUUCUAGGCUCCACGAGCUCUCUGAACGUCAGGUUAGGCGCAUGAUUGCAGAUUGACAUUAAAACCCUCUUGCUCUUGUUUCAAUGCAAAGCGCACUCUUUCAUGGCGCGUGACCUUCUUUCAUACUCAGUAACCCUUGUCUGCUUCCUAACAAUUUCUCUCUUUUAACACACUUUCUAACCUACUAUUUCUGUUCAUAAGUUUUGUUGGGACUACAAAAUCACGCAUACACUUGUUAAUUAACAAAUGAGAUUCAAAUUUAAAAAAUUUUGUAAAAAUUUGACAGUUAAAUCAUGAGUGAGUGUCUUUUACAAGCAUAAGGGUAAUCACAGAUAUUGUUGGCUUUGAUAGUUGUUAAACCUUGUUCUGAAAAUUCAUAUGAAUGAGUUAAGGAAUGGGGGUGCUGAUAUAAACAAUCUUUACACGAUUUUUGUCCUUGAUUUCUAAACAAAGUAAGAAUUGAUAAAUUAAAUAAAUAUGGAAAUGAAAUGAUAAAGGAAGAAUAGGGAUGGAAAUGCAAGAAUUGAAUAAGUUUGGAGAAAAUAAUGAUGAUAGAUGGGAAUUGAAAUGUGAUUAAUAGGAUGUGGUGUAAAGAUGGGACAGCAGGGCGGGUGGCCCCCCAAACUUCGGAGGUGCGUGUACUACACAAGUGAAAUGCAAUGGCAAUGCAUCUUACAACUAACGGCAAAUGCAUAUUUUGAAUUUGGUUCAAGAGAGUGUACGACUUCACAGUGCUAGAAGUGGAAUUUAUUUACCUAAAUUAUGUGGACCAUUUCAUUACUAUAAUGGUAUGGGCUUGUCCUUCACACCCGUCCCACCGUUAUACAAUAGUGAGGGAUAACGCCACAACGAUUUUGUUUUUGUUGCCAUGAUCACGAUUUUGUUUUUGUUGCCAUGAUCAUACCAAUAGAUCUCACUCAAUUUUAUUAUUAUUUUGGUCCCUUUUCUCAAAGGUGAACCUCUUUGGAGGUACACAUAAAUAACGAUGGAGUCCUUGGAGAGUUGGAGAUAUUGCACGAAGGGUAGAAAGUCUAAUAAGGUGGACCAAGUUUUGUGGUCAAUUCAGAACUUGAAGUUGGUAAAAAGUAAUUUCAGAUUUGGAUAUCUCGUAAAACUGUAAAAAGCAGGGAUUGUGUACCCCUGAUAAUAUUAUUUAGUCGCUGCCUUUUUCUUGAGGAUACAGGCAAAUGAUGGAUCUUAAAGACUACAGCACGUUAAUUAAUUAAACAACCUUUUCACAGAGCCAUGAAAUGAUCACGGAAAGGACAUGCAACGAUAAGCGCUUGUUACUCGAUGACUAUGUUAAAAUAAUAAACGCUCCCUAUUUUGGGUCUUUUUGUUGUAAUGUAUGUCUUAGAUCGUCCUUUUAGUUUCAAUGUAGAUUUAGGAGAUCCUCUUGCUUUCAAGUUAUAUGCAAGUUGCAUAGCAGCAGGCAGAAAAUGGCCGAAUUGCUUCCUCUAGUAUUAGGCAGCAAAAAUAUCUUAGGAUGUUAAUACAAUAAGAUGAUAAAGGAAUGAGAACUUAAAUUUUAUUGUAA
Long non-coding RNA from Cajanus cajan (pigeon pea), 2442 nucleotides. RefSeq lists it as uncharacterized. The record is from RefSeq and is a predicted model, not a curated record. Lineage: Eukaryota; Viridiplantae; Streptophyta; Magnoliopsida; Fabales; Fabaceae.